UACGUAGGCAGCGAGCGUUGUUCGGAGUUACUGGGCGUAAAGGGUGUGUAGGCGGUUGUCUAAGUUUGGUGUGAAAUCUCCCCUCAACUGGGAGGGUGCGCCGAAUACUGAAUGACUAGAGUGCGGGAGAGGAAAGUGGAAUUCCUGGUGUAGCGGUGAAAUGCGUAGAUAUCAGGAGGAACACCGGUGGUGUAGACGGCUUUCUGGACCGUAACUGACGCUGAGACACGAAAGCGUGGGUAGCAAACAGG
RNAcentral lists this ribosomal RNA (251 nucleotides) under uncultured bacterium. RNAcentral describes it as "partial 16S ribosomal RNA". It matches the Rfam family "Bacterial small subunit ribosomal RNA", at positions 524 to 776 of the family's 1533-position model. The record is from RNAcentral.